Molecule: long non-coding RNA, 2305 nt
Organism: Spinacia oleracea (spinach)
Lineage: Eukaryota; Viridiplantae; Streptophyta; Magnoliopsida; Caryophyllales; Amaranthaceae
Exons: 2
Source: RefSeq, a predicted model, not a curated record
UAGUUUGUUGUAAUUAAGUAUUUGGUAAAAAAAUUCCUUUUAAAAAAAUUUCUGGCCCAGAAUUUUGUGGGUUAAGUUAGUGGUAAUUAUGUUUUUGGUAAAAAAAAAUUCCUUUUUUAAAAUUUUGACGUUUUGCCAGUUGUUACUUGAUGUUUUAUUAGUAGCCUAAUUUGUGGUUGAGCUUACGUAAUCUUUAUUGUGAUUAAGUUUUUUUUUUUUUGUAUUUUUUCUUAAAUUAUUUUUUUGAGUCAAUGGGUAAUGAUAAUGAUAAUGAUAAUGAUGAAUGAUUUCCUUAUUUAUUUCUGACUUUUUCCCCUUAUUAAUUUAUUGUGGCUAUUGACUGAUUUUUUUUUUCCUUUUUUAUUAUAUUGAAUAAUUAUUGUUAAUAUAAUUUAUGGUUAGUAGGGACAUGUUAGUCUUUUUUAGAGGAGGACACCAAAAGUGUAUUUUCUAAAAUAACCUUAUGUGUUCCUUUAUAGAAUAGAGAUACUGAUAUUUAAAGUUGAUAUUAGGUAUUGAAAUAUUAUUUGUAUCACCAAAAACAAUGAGAGAGAAAAGGCAAAAAAAAAAUUCCUAAGAAAUCUAGAGAGAGAAAUAACCUAAAAAAUAGCCACUGCCUUGUAAUCUUAGCCCCCCUUCGUCUUUCUUGCUCCCUACUAUGGCUACCAUGCCCUUUAGGCUCUAGAUCUGCCUAUAAUAAGAAAUUAUUACUACCUAUUACCUAUGUUAAUCAUGGGUUUAAUCCUCUUUUGAGUUCGCCCUUUUUCAAGAUCAUUUUGGAGGUUUUGGUUGAGAAUCUUUCUCAACUUCCCCUGGUUCGUUUUAUCUUCUCUAAAGGAGCUGCGUCUAUUUCCAUCGAAAUCUACGAAGUUAAUUAUGGCGAAAAUCCCACUAAUUUGAUUUUAUUUAACGGUGACUAUGUUUUGCUCCUAUGGCUGGCCAAUCGGAAAAUUAAUAGGGUUUCAGAAAUUGGUGCUAACUACUUCUUUUAUUGGACUACUACAAAGUCUUCGGAUUCUAAAACAGGGAAGUGUCUAAUCUUCAUUUUUACUGGUUGUUUUGUUGUUUUAAUUAAUUUUAAUUUUAAUUUAUGGGUUGCAUGUAUACUUUUGGUGGUUCUGUUUAUUGAUCUUAUAUGUCGUGUCUUAUACGCUCUCCAUAUUGCAAUUAAUGGUUGUGUUUCUGAUGAUUUUCCUGUACUUGACUCCCAAGCUACUGCCUUUACUCCCAAUUUUGCCCCUUAUGAUAAUCACUAUAAAUAUAGGAUUACUGUUGCGGCUACGAUCACUCCACCUCCCUUUCUUCCCCUUACUCAAACCUUCUUGCCUUGCCUAACCAGAAUCCUCAUCAAUUCUUGUCUCCUUUAUUCAUGUCUGAUAUUUCUCCUAAGCAAAACUAUGCCACAGUUCUUAUGUCGAACCCUGUUGCGCUUCCCUAUGGACUUUCACCUCCCAAUUUAUGUGAUACUUCAGCUGCAACCUUACAACAAUGCCUUGACAACCCCACCAAUGGGAAGCCACAAUUCUUCUAGUGCUCCCACUUCCCCAUUUGCAAACUCUACACACUCUCCUGCUGCAGAGGGCUAAUUUGUUGAGUAACCGAAGCCUAAAGCACGAGACAUUAUCAAUUAUACUACUUAAUGAAAAGGGGUUGUGAAAGAGUCCCAACUUAUCAAUUCUUCAUCCAACGUGUACCAACAUAAAGAAUAGAGGAGGAUCACUAAAUCUCCUUAAAAGAGAAGCUGAAGCCCACAAUUAUCACAUUAUUGAAGGGAUCCCACCAAGUAAAUACGUGAGUUAUAGGAAGACAAAUUCUUCACACAAACCGUCAAAACAGGGACUGCUUCUUUCUUCUCGAAGGCGCAUAAACGGCAAACUCACACUACCGAUCUUCUAGUUCCGAUAUCACCGGUUAAAAACUAGGGUUUAUCUCAUAUAAAAUUGCAGCCCAACCCCUCAAACCACACACACACAGACGACACAAGGAGAACCAUAAAAUUUGUGAGUUGAGGGAUUAUAGUCAGAUCUGGAAUUGGGUAAUUGAUAAGGAGAAGGCAGCCAUUGGAGAGAGCUUAGUCUUGAAUUCAAGGUCAAGAAGGACGACGGCGAGUUGCGGGGUCGAAGCCGGAGCUAGCUUGGGUGUUCUUAGUUAGAAGAUAUAAUAAGUUCUUCUUCUACUCAAUUACCCCAAUCCCCAAUUUAAGUACUGUAUUGUUUUGUUGGACUAAAUUGUUUAAUUUGUUGGUAUGCAGCAUUGUUUGGUAUAAUAUAAUCUACAUGAGAUAAUCAUCAGAUUUAGUUUUGAA